Podarcis muralis (Common wall lizard) is the source of this 1530-nucleotide long non-coding RNA. RefSeq lists it as uncharacterized. The record is from RefSeq and is a predicted model, not a curated record. Lineage: Eukaryota; Metazoa; Chordata; Lepidosauria; Squamata; Lacertidae.
GGAGUAUUGAGGCAGAGCAGAAGGCAGCGAGGAUGAAAGGGAAAGGGCUCUAAGAGAGCGGAGACUGGCAGACAAACAGAAGUUUAGAAAAAUGAAGGCUUAAGGAGACAUGAUAAGAGUUUCAUAUAAUUCUGAAAUAUGCAGAGGGCCUUGAUUAUAUUCUGUUUCCCACCAAAUGCUGCAACCAAAAUUCAACUGAUGAAACCAACUGGCAAGAGGCUUCGCAGAAAGGAAAGGAACUGCUUCACACAGGGUGGCCAAGUGCCCUACUUCACACAGGAAGGUGUGCUGUUUGAAGAGCUGCCUGGUCCACAGACAGAGGACCCCAAGGAGGGAGAGCAGCAGGAGCCUUCAAGUUGCCCAUCAACAGUUCACACCUGGGUAGCAGACCAAGCUGUCUCCUGGUCACAGUCUUUCCUUCUAUGCUCUUGCACCUGCUUCUACUAUAUGCAAAUCCGAGCGGGCCUGCCGCCUCAUGUCAAGAACGAGUUACGUCUCCUCUCGCCCCAGCCAGAGGCGAGCGCAGAGAAAUAUGUGUGACAACCGUCUGCGGCCUUCAUUGAAGUCAGCAGAUAAGGGCGGGCGAUUCAGGCGCCCCCAGAACAAGCAGCUCCCAUGACGGCAUCGGACAUCCCAGCAUUUUCUUGGUCCCCGCAAGCAGCCACCUAGGAUGCAGAAUCCAACAUGCUUCCACAAAUGGUGCUGUAGCCACUGAGCCCAGAAAACCCAAAGGUUUUCUCCAUGUAAAUAAGAGCAGUUGCCGCACUUCCUGUAUUGCUUGCUGCACCGAGAGUUAACUGCUCCAUUUCACACAACCUCCAAAAGAGCAUGUACCUUCUUAUGCAUUGGUUUUUAAUAACCAAACUAGAGAAAUAUUUACAAUUAGGAUUUCCUAUUUAACUGACACCGCCCCUGUGUGUUUGACAGCUGCCUGAGCGCCUAUGUGAAGCUAAUUGUGUCAGUUGCAAUCAUGUCAACAUUUUAAUUUUAUUUCAUUGCAAGCAAAGGGGAGGAGGGAGCUGGUUUUUGUUGGAACUGCGAUGGACAGGGAGGGGAAGUUUAAACCUUCCCUCACCUGCCUGGAUCUCAAUGAAAAUCCCCCUUAUCCAAGCGGUUUGGCUUAGGAAAAGAGUUCCCACUGGUGCCAGUUUAGCAAUUCAGCAAAUCAAACACACCUUGAUACUUUGUCCAUUGGGGAAUCAGUAGGGGCUCCUUGUAGCUCAUGGAGCUGAAUCUCCUCAUUAGCUGAUUUAUUUAUUUAUACAGCUAGCUAGUUCCUCCCAGCUGCUGUUACAGCCAGUGAGGUAAAGGUGUGUGGCUCUAAUUGCUGAGAAAAGGGAUUUGAAAGGCAGAAGGGAGUCAUAUCAGUUUAGCCCCCUGGGAAUGGGGAGUGAACAAGAGGUGUUUAUUAAUUGGGGAGUGUGUGCAAGAUAGUAGGACUGCAUAGGAAAGUGCUGCUAGUAUACAGUGGUACCUCAGGUUAAUACUUAAUUUAUUCCGGAGGUCCGUUCUUAACCUGAAACUGUUCUU